GCAUUCCUGCCGUGUGCGAGGCCGGACCGAUAUGUUUUGAGCCAACACCAAAACAUAGGGAACCUGAUCUUAGUUAACGGCCGUCCUGCCCCAGCUUUUUAGGGGACUGCGAAAGUUAACGGGAGGUGCCCACCUGCCUAGCGCAGGUUCAAAACGUCGGGGUACUGCGGCAUGGCGGGGGAAAG
RNAcentral lists this non-coding RNA (185 nucleotides) under Sulfobacillus sp. Its description in RNAcentral is "6S RNA". It matches the Rfam family "6S / SsrS RNA". Rfam says of the family: E. coli 6S RNA was the first non coding RNA to be sequenced, but its function was unknown until recently. It consists of 184 nucleotides that fold into an extended hairpin structure with a large single-stranded internal bulge. Lineage: Bacteria; Bacillati; Bacillota; Clostridia; Eubacteriales; Clostridiales Family XVII. Incertae Sedis. The record is from RNAcentral. RNAcentral also lists the same sequence under 2 other names.